AACCUCCCCAUUGGUGUCCAACCUCCCCAUCGAUGUCCCUAACCUCCCCAUCGAUGACCUUGGACAACGAUGCUGCAUUGGUCGCAGUAAAGAGCUUUCUACAAACACACGACGCUGGAGGAUAUUUUUACUCCUCACACACCAGCCGCAGGCUGUGGGGGUGUGGGGGGUAGGGGGGGACCUGUGUGGGACAGGGACGGGGGGGACGGGGGUACUUAAAGUGCUCUUCAGGACGAGCACAUUGUACCAAACAUAAGCACUGAAAACCGCAGUCCAGAAAUACAUCCUGGUUCACUCGUCUGGAUUCCUGUCGAGCUGUUGUCAAAUGCUUUGGGACAUUUUGCAAGAGUGUGUGUGUGUGUGUGUGUGUGUGUGUGUGUACAUGUGUGUACGUGUGUGUGUGUGUGCGCGUGUGUGUGUGUGUGUGUGUGCUGGUUUUACCAAGACUCCGGCCUCUGUGGCUCGCCUACAGUAUCUUUCGAAGUAUAUUUUAUUUCCACAAAGAAGUACAAAGGUGCUUUUCUUGUGUGAAUAUUUAGUUUUGUUUACAGACUCCGGUUCUCUGUAGUUCAGCUGCAGUCAUUUUGAAGGAUCUAAAGGUGCGUACAGACAGCGUAGGAAGACGUUUGUGCACAGGAGCACGGAACAGGGACUUUGAGAAGUGCAUGCGUGUGUUUGGUGAAUGGGAUCAUGUGAGCGGAACAACACCCGCCUACUUUCUGAAUUAUUUAAAAUGUCCAUGUUAUAAACUGUAUUAAGUCUGCUUGAAAUGUAUCAUUAAUAUUGUUAUCGAUCAUUAAACAGAAUAACGUCUUCACUAAAGCUGUUUUUAAUUGACUCUGGAAUGUAAGGAACAGAGAAGUGCUGCUCAGCGAUUGGACGGAAUAAUUCACCUGAGCGGAAACUCACAGGAUUCUUUAAAGCAGGAAGAACCUGUUUGUGUCCCUGAAGGCUUCCGGGUGCAGCGUGAACUCAGCAGAGCUGCACAGACGUUCAGAGGCAGGAAGCAGGGACGUAUUUAUGUUUCCUCGCCCUGUAAUUAGGACCUGGACCAACGCCCCCCCACCCCCC
Long non-coding RNA from Gasterosteus aculeatus aculeatus (three-spined stickleback), 1071 nucleotides. NCBI's taxonomy places the organism in Eukaryota, Metazoa, Chordata, Actinopteri, Perciformes, Gasterosteidae. The record is from Ensembl.